AAAUUGAAGAGUUUGAUCAUGGCUCAGAUUGAACGCUGGCGGCAGGCCUAACACAUGCAAGUCGAACGGUAACAGGAAGCAGCUUGCUGCUUCGCUGACGAGUGGCGGACGGGUGAGUAAUGUCUGGGAAACUGCCUGAUGGAGGGGGAUAACUACUGGAAACGGUGGCUAAUACGGGACAACGUCGCAAGACCAAAGAGGGGGACCUUCGGGCCUCUUG
Molecule: ribosomal RNA, 220 nt
Filed under: Salmonella enterica
Lineage: Bacteria; Pseudomonadati; Pseudomonadota; Gammaproteobacteria; Enterobacterales; Enterobacteriaceae
Description: partial 16S ribosomal RNA
Rfam family: Bacterial small subunit ribosomal RNA
Source: RNAcentral